CAGUAGCCGCGGGAAAACGUAGGGCGCAAGCGUUGUCCGGAAUUAUUGGGCGUAAAGAGCUCGUAGGCGGUCUGUCGCGUCUGGUGUGAAAUCCCGAGGCUCAACCUCGGGCUUGCAUCGGGUACGGGCAGACUAGAGUGCGGUAGGGGAGACUGGAAUUCCUGGUGUAGCGGUGGAAUGCGCAGAUAUCAGGAGGAACACCGAUGGCGAAGGCAGGUCUCUGGGCCGCAACUGACGCUGAGGAGCGAAAGCAUGGGGAGCGAACAGGAUUAGAUACCCCAGUAGUCCCUGUCUCUUAUAC
RNAcentral lists this ribosomal RNA (301 nucleotides) under uncultured bacterium. RNAcentral describes it as "partial 16S ribosomal RNA". It matches the Rfam family "Bacterial small subunit ribosomal RNA", at positions 509 to 807 of the family's 1533-position model. The record is from RNAcentral.